Molecule: unclassified non-coding RNA, 379 nt
Filed under: uncultured Gammaproteobacteria bacterium
Lineage: Bacteria; Pseudomonadati; Pseudomonadota; Gammaproteobacteria
Description: contains 16S-23S intergenic spacer region
Source: RNAcentral
UCCGGUUUGUCACCGGCAGUCUCCUUAGAGUUCCCACCUUUACGUGUUGGCAACUAAGGACAGGGGUUGCGCUCGUUACGGGACUUAACCCAACAUCUCACAACACGAGCUGACGACAGCCAUGCAGCACCUGUCUCUCGGCUCCCGAAGGCACUCGCAUAUCUCUAUGCAAUUCCGAGGAUGUCAAGGGUAGGUAAGGUUCUUCGCGUUGCAUCGAAUUAAACCACAUGCUCCACCGCUUGUGCGGGCCCCCGUCAAUUCCUUUGAGUUUUAAUCUUGCGACCGUACUCCCCAGGCGGAAGACUUAUCGCGUUUGCUUCGAUACUGCCAAGUUUUAUCCCAGCAACAUCUAGUCUUCAUCGUUUACAGCAUGGACUAC